This is a non-coding RNA of Geobacillus sp. BCO2, 236 nucleotides long. The record is from Rfam. Lineage: Bacteria; Bacillati; Bacillota; Bacilli; Caryophanales; Anoxybacillaceae.
GAAAAAGCGUUGACGAGGAGAAGUAGGGAGCAUCGGCAUCCCAGAGAGAGCCGCCUGGGCUGGAAGCGGCUUAUGUUCGGUGCUGUCUGAAGUGCGCCUCGGAGUCUCCUUUCGAACCGGAACAGAGACGUUCUGCAGUAGAGGGGAGCGGAGCAUCUCCGUUAUCGGAAUCGAGUGAGCGAAACGGAGCCCCGUUUCGCUAAACAGAGUGGAACCGCGCCAAAAGCGUCUCUGUG